RNAcentral lists this ribosomal RNA (435 nucleotides) under uncultured bacterium. RNAcentral's name for it is "bacterial SSU rRNA". It matches the Rfam family "Bacterial small subunit ribosomal RNA", at positions 56 to 504 of the family's 1533-position model. The record is from RNAcentral.
UGCAAGUCGAACGGAAAGGCCCUGCUUGCAGGGUACUCGAGUGGCGAACGGGUGAGUAACACGUGGGUGAUCUGCCCUGCACUUCGGGAUAAGCCUGGGAAACUGGGUCUAAUACCGGAUAGGACCAUCGUUUAGUGUCGGUGGUGGAAAGUUUUUUCGGUGUGGGAUGAGCUCGCGGCCUAUCAGCUUGUUGGUGGGGUAAUGGCCUACCAAGGCGUCGACGGGUAGCCGGCCUGAGAGGGUGACCGGCCACACUGGGACUGAGACACGGCCCAGACUCCUACGGGAGGCAGCAGUGGGGAAUAUUGCACAAUGGGCGCAAGCCUGAUGCAGCGACGCCGCGUGGGGGAUGACGGCCUUCGGGUUGUAAACUCCUUUCAACCAUGACGAAGCUUUCGGGUGACGGUAGUGGUAGAAGAAGCACCGGCUAACUAC